AAAUUAAAAUCCUUACAUGCAAAUGCCAUCAAAAGGACUUUUCCAAGGCUUGAAAUGAGGUUGGGUUAACAAGAAAAAUUGGUUUUUCCAGAAAGCAAAAUCCUUGAGCUAAGAGAGCUAUCAUAGUAUUCAACAUUUAAGCACAACUCUCUUCCUCACCAAUCUCACUUAUUCCCAACUUUUUCCCUUUCCCUUUUCAUUGAGCUCAUCUUCAUGCUUAUUCUUCUUUUCUUUUCUUUUUCUCAUGCAUUUUUCUUUUUCAACAAUUGAGCUCGAUGCUUCUUAACAACUUUUCAAUUUCCCCCAUGCAACGCCAAACUUGAACCUUUUCAUCAUAUAAAGUUAAGCUCAUCUCAACU
Molecule: long non-coding RNA, 359 nt
Filed under: Vigna radiata
Lineage: Eukaryota; Viridiplantae; Streptophyta; Magnoliopsida; Fabales; Fabaceae
Description: long non-coding RNA (VRAD_LNC012063)
Source: RNAcentral